AUGCAGCCCACAGCUGUGAUGUGCUCCCUUAUCCUUAGCUUUGAUGUUGACCGCCACAGGGCCUCCUCCUCCUCUCUUGCACCCGCCUCCCUCCUCCCUCACAGGUCACAGGGUGGUCCCUCCGUGGAGAAGGUGGCUCGCAGAUCAGCUUCACUUGAACGUCUGAGGCAAGCAGGUCCAGAAAAAGGCCCACUGAAAAGGGACCUAUCCGAGCCUGAAGCUUCUCUGCUUCGGCGACAGUUCGGGACCCAGGUGGAGACCGUGUCCGUCUGCAUGUCUGCCCUGAGCGGCUGCGACUCCCAGCCCCGUUCUCCGUGCUUUGUCCACCAAGGACAGCCACCCGGAGAGAAAGAGCUCCAACCCCCCACUUGGCCUUUUCUUCUCUAUAAGACGACCGCCCCAGGCAGGAGGGACCCCGUGAGGCCCUCCUACCCACCGUGGACGCCCCCCUGCCAUACUCAGGUUUGCGACAGAGUGGGGUGAAUCAGUAGUGGCCACAUGAAUCAGUAAAUGAAUGGGGGGCAUCAACCCCGUUUCUCUCUCCUGCUCUGCCCUCCCUCCCCUCCGUGUCUGGAAGCCGCUGGGGGCCCAGUCCCCCCACUGCCUCUCCUUGUGGGUCGGCCACAACCAGGUAGGUGCUCCUGACCCAGCAUCCCUCGGGGUUCAGGGCUGUCGGGCUGAGCAGAGUCAGGGGCAUCUCCUCAGUUCAAGGCCACACUCUGUGCACAGGAACCCAGACCCCCACUUCCUCUUCUGAGGGUCCUCAAAGAUUCUGGCCCUAUAGCCUCUCCCAGCUGCCAGCCACCUCCCCAACAAAAACGCAGCUUUGCCCCUUAAUGUGGGGCCUGGAGAACUGAAAGCAGGACAAUAACAAAAUUCUCGGACCCAGGCAUAAUUACCUCC
Molecule: long non-coding RNA, 903 nt
Filed under: Mustela putorius furo (domestic ferret)
Lineage: Eukaryota; Metazoa; Chordata; Mammalia; Carnivora; Mustelidae
Description: lncRNA (ENSMPUG00000031354.1)
Source: RNAcentral